AAAAAAGAAAAGAAAAAAAAAAGAAUUGAAAAGAGAAAAGAGCCAAAUGGAAGGGAAAUUCCGUUGCGUAUAUUACAGUGGAAGCGGAAGGACAACCGCGGCGGUCAGUCUUAAACAAUUUCGAAAAUAUAUUUAUAUAUACCGGGGGGUCAGUUGGUAUAUAAUGUACAGUAGUUUUGUUUUUGUUUUUGUUUUUUUUUUUUGGUCGUUGCUCACACGCGAACAAAAAGAAAAUGGAAGUUUUCAGUCAAAGUAAAUAGCGAAUAAAUCAAGGUGCGAAAAUGGGUUUGGAAAAAGGAAAAAGGCGGUCGUCACUUUGAAGAGAAAUAAAAAAAUGCCCAAAAGGAGAGAGAAACAAGGCGAAAACUCACGACAAAUGGACGACAUUAUUCAACGUAAACAACAACAAAAAAAAACCCUCCAAAAAAAAAAGUACCGCAAGUUUUUUUAUUGUGCGGUGCCCGAGUACAAGAGAAAACAGGUUGUCGAGUUCGUCGACAUUUUUCUUUUAGUUGUGCAGAAGCCAAUAAGAAAAAAAAAAACAACAAACCUCAAGUCACUAUAAAAGUCAAGUUUAAAAUCAUUUCCUAUUUAAAUCGAAAAAAAAAAACAAAACAUUGGAGGAAUGAGAUUGGAAACAGGUCACGCGUGACACGCGUGAAAGAGAAAAUGACGACCAUGUGUGCAAGAAUUUCAUCAUUUGCAAUCACUAGACAAUGCCGCUUUCCUUCCAAGAACACAUUUCAAAAUCAGAAUUGAUAAUCUUUGAACGAACGCUUCUUCCAUCCGUUUCGUUCGGCCUUUCAUCGCUUUAUACGAUGAGGCUAUAAACUCAUUCGUGAAAACUAUCCAUUCAACACGUCACAUCCGGCAUUGAACACGUCACAAAUUCCUGCCUUCCGAACUAUACCGACUGCAUGUGCGGCCACGGCGGUUUCACGCCGGCUAAAAAACCUAGCCCGAAGCGGCGAAACAUUUUUUAAAAAGAAUAUGAAAUCAAAAUCAAAAUGAGAAGAAGACGCGUCAGUUUUUGCCUUAAGAACAGAAGGAAAUGACGAAGGAUUUCAAUAGUCUGGCGCGCGCAGCAAAACUUCUUCAAUUGCAAUUGUUUGGUAGGUUAUAUCUAUACCGGCUUCUUAUGUUUCAUCGGCUCCCGAUACUUUCUGUUGUAUCUUACCCAGCCACAUAAGCGGACAGCAUUUUUUAAUUUCUUUUUGUUUGAAAAUAAAACAAAAAGGGCUGCCGGGCAUUUAAAACUGGUGGGAACUUGGAAUCUUUAACACACACACACGCACACAAAGGCAGGGAGAUGUGCGGCUAAAAUAAACAGAAUAAGAACAUUGUUGUAGCUACUUGCGCGCCCAUCUUGUAUUACGUGCGGGUAUAGAUCACGUCCACCGGUUUCUCAUGUAACUGACCAGCAAUGGGCCGACCGCGGGAAUUGGCGGUACAGUCACGAGCGCUGUACAGUGUUUGGGCGUUCCGAUCGAAUGCAGCAAAAUGGAAUAUAAGAAAUAUGCGAAUAUACUUACAUAGAUUUUUUGUAUCCAUUCCAUCGCAGCGCAAGGGGUCACGUGACGCGGAAGGGACGAGACCUCAAUUCGAUCAUCCGCCAUCAUUUUCUUUUCUAUAUAUUUUUUUUCAAACGUGUUGUAUCUCAAAACAGUCGUUCCAUCGAGUCUUUUUCUUUUGGCUUUCUUCGGAUGGCUGCGCUGUUUCUCACUUCAUUUACGAUUUGUUUUUGAAAAAACAAAACAAAAACAAAACAAUCUGAUGUAACGCGUGCAUUCACGAAGAACGUGAGACUUCUGCUAUGUCGUCAACGUUUCCUAUAACGGUGCUUUCCUUUUUUUUUUUUUUAUUGUCACCAUCUGAAUUCCAUUUGGAAAAUAAAAUGUUUCGCAUUUUCUCCUUGUCUUCUCCGAAUCAUAAAAUAUAAACCUUUUGUUUGUUUUGGUUUGUCUUUUAUUUGUGUGUGUGUGUGUGUGUAAAAGGACGUGACAAUAAAAACCAGAAGAGCUUGAAAACUUCCA
Daphnia magna is the source of this 2033-nucleotide long non-coding RNA. RefSeq lists it as uncharacterized. Lineage: Eukaryota; Metazoa; Arthropoda; Branchiopoda; Diplostraca; Daphniidae. The record is from RefSeq and is a predicted model, not a curated record. The transcript has 2 exons.